GGAGAAUGGCAUGUCCUUCCCAUGAGGACUUCCUUCUGAUCCACACCAAAGCUGAGCAGGAGAGGAAAGAAGUCAGAGAGAAAGCCUUGGCCUUGUCUUCAUCCAACCGUUUUCUGGGCACCUAGUGAUUCCACCUGACUCUAGAAAAUUCAAAUGAUGUCUUUUGGAGACUUCAACCAAUAACUCCCAGCUCAGCAUGGGAGUCUCAUGGGAGCUGACUUCAAGAAUGGAAAGAGAUGCCAGGCCACUUAAAAGCUAAGCCUACAACGGGAUAACACCACUUCUACUCUAUCAAAGAAGGUCUACAGUCUACCCCAGGUGUGGGAAGGUAGAAAGCAGUCAGCACAUGUGUAAGAAAGAAAGGAAUCAAAAGUCUCCCCUUUAGAUGCUAUAUAUCACAACAUCUCUCCAUCAGUUUGCUAACUACUAGUAGUCUGUCAUUUAUUUCAUUCUUAUUGGAAGCAGAGAAGCACAAAAUGACCAGUACAUUUUAAAUAAUCAAUAACUGUUUUAAAGAUAUUUGAGGACCUAGGAGAUUGUUUUGUCUCUAAUAUUGACCAACUCUAACAAGAGGAAGCCCAGAAGUCAUUCCACAUAUAUGCUGUACCUGAAACCUAAGGAAGUCUUGUGAGGGACUAAUAUGAUCAGAAGAAAAAGAUCAUGCACUGUGAGCCUAAUAGAAAUGGCUCAGAUUCCUAGAACAGUCAGAGGUUAGACCUAGGGAUUCGGUUUUGUCUUCACGAAAGUACA
Molecule: long non-coding RNA, 750 nt
Organism: Dipodomys spectabilis (banner-tailed kangaroo rat)
Lineage: Eukaryota; Metazoa; Chordata; Mammalia; Rodentia; Heteromyidae
Exons: 3
Source: RefSeq, a predicted model, not a curated record